This 254-nucleotide ribosomal RNA is filed under the name uncultured bacterium. RNAcentral describes it as "partial 16S ribosomal RNA". It matches the Rfam family "Bacterial small subunit ribosomal RNA", at positions 524 to 776 of the family's 1533-position model. The record is from RNAcentral.
GACGUAGGGCGCGAGCGUUGUCCGGAUUUAUUGGGCGUAAAGAGCUCGUAGGCGGCUUGUCGCGUCGACUGUGAAAACCCGUGGCUCAACCAUGUGGUCUGCAGUCGAUACGGGCAGGCUAGAAUUCGGUAGGGGAGACUGGAAUUCCUGGUGUAGCGGUGAAAUGCGCAGAUAUCAGGAGGAACACCGGUGGCGAAGGCGGUUCUCUGGGCCUGACCUGACGCUGAGGAGCGAAAGCGUGGGGAGCGAACAGG